AGAGGGGGAGAGAGAGAGAGGGGAGAAGCGGCGCGUGAGGGGAACUGUGGCGAGGGGAAGCAGUCCCACCAGCUUCUGCCUGCCUGCUGCUGUGUCCGAGGGCCCGGGAUCGCUGUACCACGCGGGAGCCACAGUCGAGUGCGCGGUGCCAACCCUCACGCACGGGUUCAGCCAUUGGCACUCCCCCCUCCGUCUCCGUCGUGUUCAUUGUGGCAGCCUGUUGUGGCACGCUCCUCUCACCUGCCACGGAUACGUAGGCGGACGCGAGGAAGGUUCUGCCGCUGCCGGAUACGAGUUUACGGGUUGAACCGCCGCGCGAGUGAGUCUGAGUUGGUUUAGAGAAGGAGAAAGAGAGAGAGAAAGGAAGAGAAGGAAAACAGGACGAGAACUACGAAAGCGCGACUCAUUAGGGAGUUAACGGGCGCGAACGACAGUUUAUUAUGAGUAACAAUGCAGAGAAAGAAAGAGAGAGAAAGUCGAAACUAAAAUGCCCGACUUAGAGAACCUUGACAUUCGGCAGCUGGAAACGAUACACUCAUGAGCGCCUUGAGUUCGUGGGCAAAGGAGAAAAGGUGUGAGUGGAUCCAGAUAUAAAGCCAGUCACGAGUGAGGAGGAGGAGGGGUCGCCCACCAACCUACCCACUCACUCACCCACUCACCCACCCAACCCCCGCCCUACCCCUGGUAUUCAUGAGCGAGAGGAGCAAUAUCCCAGACGGUGAAACAGGCCACAAGAAAGCCAUGGGUCCGAGCAGCGUUGUCAGCACCAUCGGGAAGAUAGAUAAAAGAAGCCAAUACUAAUGGAUCGUUUAUGACACAUCACCAUUGACCACGUGUUUCUUGGAACUUGUCGGUGAUACUGCGGGACAUAUAAACACCCCCUCCCCCCUUCGCUAUACCGUUAAGUCAAGGCAGAAAGAUGAGAGUGAGUCACCAGAUCAUAUGACUGACGACUGAUCAGAAACCUUUUGUAAAAAAAAUCAAAUAAAACAAAAAAACAAACUCACUUUUGAUAGAUAUAAACGCAUGAGCCGAUUAGUGAACGGAAAGAGUAACGAGUGCCAUGGAGUGCCCCAAGAAGGAAGAGUUAACAGCUAGAAAAGUCAUUUACUGAACGUGACAGCAAUCUCUAGUUUCUGAUGACUGACAGUGACAGAUAACGUGAAACUUGAUUCGCAAGUAUAAGUCAUUAAAAGGUAAAAAAUACAACCAAUAAGAUACUUCAAGUAGACUUCCCCCCAAAAGGAGCUCCGGAGACACGACAGAGAAGAAAACAAAGCUCUGGUCGGCUCACAUUCACGCUCACAUUCACGCACACUCACAAACCCAAACUUCACUUUCCUCCCACACACGUCUCCACGCACACUGACGGUCUCACAACUUCGCCGUGCCAGUUUCCAUAUAUAUUAGCCAUUUUUCUGGUCACAUAAAGCUCCUGUAAAUAACUUCUAACGUUGCCUUGAUUUGAAGUUUGAGAUCAUCGAAGUUAACUCUUUUGAGACUACUUUUUCUGAGAUAUUUAAUCUCGAACAAAAUUUGUUGUAAUGUAAAUUUCAUUAAAGAUCGCUACAGAGACAUUUUUAUUUUGGUGCAGGUUUAUCGUCUACCGACAUUUCUCUUGCUCAUCCUGAAUAACUAAAUUCAUACUAAAGCAUAUGAGUGAAAUCUCCCUUAACCUUUUAACUAUUUGCUUCCUGUUUUUUAAUUCAAAUCUCUUGGAAUGACGUAAGCACUGACACAUUGCCCUUGGUACAUUUGCUGCUACUUGACCAAGAGAUAAAAAAAAAAAUGUUUCUCCAGUGUCUGUAUCAUUGCUUGCUUGUCCUUUCCACCACGAGAGCAUUAUGCUAGCACGAGGAAAUCCUCAUCAUAACACACCCCAACACCACCAUUACACCCGUAAAGGAUCGGUUCCCUAACGCACCAUCAAAACAUCACUGUCACAGCGACUGCCACAGCAACAGCCAACACAGCCUCUCUAUCCCUCCCUCCCUCCCUCCCCCCUCCCCCUCAAAAAAAUAAACAACAUCCCUUCCCUACCCAGGUCUCCCCCUCCUUCCACCCUAACGACACACACGCAACGGCAACAAACAACAGCAACAACAAACAACAAACAACCUCUCCCUUCCCCCCUUUAAACCUGGCUCAGUAACCUCCCUGAGUAUUUUGUAGUGCAAGUGACAUACCAAAUCAGGCUAUAUGAAAAAGGUAUGCGUCGUAUUCCACCUUAGGGCCCCUUGCAUGGAGUACCACACGACCAGGAAAUCAUCAUCCUGCUACGAACUGCACGUGAUGUUUCCUAACCCCGAGGGCCCUGGAUGCUGCGCAAUCGUCCUUACUAUCAUCUCCUAUCUCCUCAUCAUCGCUACUUUCCCGUUCUCACUAUGCAUGUGCAUCAAGGUAAGUGUGAAUUUUAUGUUGUUGUUUUAAGAAGAUUUUUAUUUGUAUUUUUUUUUUUUUUUUUUUUGGGGGGGGAGGGUUAAACAAAGGGGAAUAUAG
Penaeus indicus is the source of this 2499-nucleotide RNA transcript. RefSeq lists it as uncharacterized. The record is from RefSeq and is a predicted model, not a curated record. The transcript is spliced from 4 exons. NCBI's taxonomy places the organism in Eukaryota, Metazoa, Arthropoda, Malacostraca, Decapoda, Penaeidae.